GUGAGGAAUAUUGGUCAAUGGGCGAGAGCCUGAACCAGCCAAGUCGCGUGAAGGAAGAAGGAUCUAUGGUUCGUAAACUUCUUUUGCAGGGGAAUAAAGUGCAGGACGUGUCCUGUUUUGUAUGUACCCUGAGAAUAAGGAUCGGCUAACUCCGUGCCAGCAGCCGCGGUAAUACGGAGGAUCCGAGCGUUAUCCGGAUUUAUUGGGUUUAAAGGGUGCGUGGGUGGUUUGAUAAGUCAGCGGUGAAAGUUUGCAGCUUAACUGUAAAAAUGCCGUUGAAACUGUCGGACUUGAGUGUAAAUGAGGUAGGCGGAAUGCGUGGUGUAGCGGUGAAAUGCAUAGAUAUCACGCAGAACUCCGAUUGCGAAGGCAGCUUACUAAGCUACAACUGACACUGAAGCACGAAAGCGUGGGGAUCAAACAGGAUUAGAUACCCUAGUAGUCC
This 445-nucleotide ribosomal RNA is filed under the name uncultured bacterium. RNAcentral's name for it is "partial 16S ribosomal RNA". It matches the Rfam family "Bacterial small subunit ribosomal RNA", at positions 354 to 796 of the family's 1533-position model. The record is from RNAcentral.